GAUGAACGCUGGCGGCGUGCCUAAUACAUGCAAGUCGAGCGAACAGACGAGGAGCUUGCUCCUCUGACGUUAGCGGCGGACGGGUGAGUAACACGUGGAUAACCUACCUAUAAGACUGGGAUAACUUCGGGAAACCGGAGCUAAUACCGGAUAAUAUAUUGAACCGCAUGGUUCAAUAGUGAAAGACGGUUUUGCUGUCACUUAUAGAUGGAUCCGCGCCGCAUUAGCUAGUUGGUAAGGUAACGGCUUACCAAGGCAACGAUGCGUAGGCGACCUGAGAGGGUGAUCGGCCACACUGGAACUGAGACACGGUCCAGACGCCUACGGGAGGCAGCAGUAGGGAAUCUUCCGCAAGGGGCGAAAGCCUGACGGAGCAACGCCGCGUGAGUGAUGAAGGUCUUCGGAUCGUAAAACUCUGUUAUUAGGGAAGAACAAAUGUGUAAGUAACUAUGCACGUCUUGACGGUACCUAAUCAGAAAGCCACGGCUAACUACGUG
Molecule: ribosomal RNA, 497 nt
Filed under: uncultured bacterium
Lineage: Bacteria
Description: partial 16S ribosomal RNA
Rfam family: Bacterial small subunit ribosomal RNA
Source: RNAcentral